RNAcentral lists this ribosomal RNA (467 nucleotides) under uncultured bacterium. Its description in RNAcentral is "partial 16S ribosomal RNA". It matches the Rfam family "Bacterial small subunit ribosomal RNA", at positions 29 to 507 of the family's 1533-position model. The record is from RNAcentral.
ACGAACGCUGGCGGCGUGCUUAACACAUGCCCGUCGAACGGAAAGGCCCUGCUUUUGUGGGGUGCUCGAGUGGCGAACGGGUGAGUAACACGUGAGUAACCUGCCCUUGACUUUGGGAUAACUUCAGGAAACUGGGGCUAAUACCGGAUAGGAGCUCCUGCUGCAUGGUGGGGGUUGGAAAGUUUCGGCGGUUGGGGAUGGACUCGCGGCUUAUCAGCUUGUUGGUGGGGUAGUGACUUACCAAGGCUUUGACGGGUAGCCGGCCUGAGAGGGUGACCGGCCACAUUGGGACUGAGAUACGGCCCAGACUCCUACGGGAGGCAGCAGUGGGGAAUAUUGUACAAUGGGCGGAAGCCUGAUGCAGCAACGCCGCGUGCGGGAUGACGGCCUUCGGGUUGUAAACCGCUUUCGCCUGUGACGAAGCGUGAGUGACGGUAAUGGGUAAAGAAGCACCGGCUAACUACGUG